GACGAACCGUGCAAACGUUGUUCGGAAUCACUGGGCUUAAAGGGCGCGUAGGCGGGCUCUCAAGUCGGGGGUGAAAUCGUUCGGCCCAACCGGACAAGGGCUUCCGAUACUGAGAGUCUCGAGGGAGGUAGGGGUCGAGGGAACUGGUGGUGGAGCAGUGAAAUGCGUAGAUAUCACUAGGAACGCCGGUGGCGAAAGCGCUCGACUGGACCUCUUCUGACGCUGAGGCGCGAAAGCCAGGGGAGCAAACGGG
Molecule: ribosomal RNA, 253 nt
Filed under: uncultured bacterium
Lineage: Bacteria
Description: partial 16S ribosomal RNA
Rfam family: Bacterial small subunit ribosomal RNA
Source: RNAcentral